UGGGAUAUCGCCAAGCGGUAAGGCAGCGGGUUUUGAUCUCGCCAUUCCAAGGUUCAAAUCCUUGUAUCCCAGCCA
This 75-nucleotide transfer RNA is filed under the name Pseudoalteromonas tunicata. RNAcentral describes it as "tRNA-Gln". It matches the Rfam family "tRNA". Rfam says of the family: Transfer RNA (tRNA) molecules are approximately 80 nucleotides in length. Their secondary structure includes four short double-helical elements and three loops (D, anti-codon, and T loops). Further hydrogen bonds mediate the characteristic L-shaped molecular structure. tRNAs have two regions of fundamental functional importance: the anti-codon, which is responsible for specific mRNA codon recognition, and the 3' end, to which the tRNAs corresponding amino acid is attached (by aminoacyl-tRNA synthetases). tRNAs cope with the degeneracy of the genetic code in two manners: having more than one tRNA (with a specific anti-codon) for a particular amino acid; and 'wobble' base-pairing, i.e. permitting non-standard base-pairing at the 3rd anti-codon position. Lineage: Bacteria; Pseudomonadati; Pseudomonadota; Gammaproteobacteria; Alteromonadales; Pseudoalteromonadaceae. RNAcentral also lists the same sequence under 1 other name. The record is from RNAcentral.